UGGGGAAUAUUGGACAAUGGGGGCAACCCUGAUCCAGCAAUGCCGCGUGUGUGAAGAAGGUCUUCGGAUUGUAAAGCACUUUCGACGGGGACGAUGAUGACGGUACCCGUAGAAGAAGCCCCGGCUAACUUCGUGCCAGCAGCCGCGGUAAUACGAAGGGGGCUAGCGUUGCUCGGAAUGACUGGGCGUAAAGGGCGUGUAGGCGGUUUACACAGUCAGAUGUGAAAUCCCCGGGCUUAACCUGGGAGCUGCAUUUGAUACGUGUAGACUAGAGUGUGAGAGAGGGUUGUGGAAUUCCCAGUGUAGAGGUGAAAUUCGUAGAUAUUGGGAAGAACACCGGUGGCGAAGGCGGCAACCUGGCUCAUGACUGACGCUGAGGCGCAAAAGCGUGGGGAGCAAACAGGAUUAGAUACCCUGGUAGUCCACGCUGUAAACGAUGUGUGCUAGAUGUUGGGUAACUUUGUUAUUCAGUGUCGCAGUUAACGCGUUAAGCACACCGCCUGGGGAGUACGGCCGCAAGGUUGAAAC
RNAcentral lists this ribosomal RNA (528 nucleotides) under uncultured bacterium. Its description in RNAcentral is "partial 16S ribosomal RNA". It matches the Rfam family "Bacterial small subunit ribosomal RNA", at positions 355 to 900 of the family's 1533-position model. The record is from RNAcentral.